GUGUUUGACAUAGCCAAGUCAUUUCCCCUUGCCUUGGACCUUGGGUGUGGGCGAAGCUACAUUGCUCAGCAUUUAAACAAGGAUGUUGUUGGAAGGCUUUUUCAAUCAGAUGUGGCUGAAAUUGCUCUGAAAAACACACUAGAUUCAGAAAUACCAAGAGUCAAUAUCAUAGCGGAUGAAGAAUUUCUCCCUUUCAAAGA
Molecule: long non-coding RNA, 200 nt
Organism: Protobothrops mucrosquamatus (brown spotted pit viper)
Lineage: Eukaryota; Metazoa; Chordata; Lepidosauria; Squamata; Viperidae
Exons: 4
Source: RefSeq, a predicted model, not a curated record